Molecule: long non-coding RNA, 356 nt
Filed under: Salmo salar (Atlantic salmon)
Lineage: Eukaryota; Metazoa; Chordata; Actinopteri; Salmoniformes; Salmonidae
Description: lncRNA (ENSSSAG00000118891.1)
Source: RNAcentral
CUGUCUGCCUCUGUCCGUCUGUCUGUGUGUGUGAAUGCCUGUCUGUCUCUGAGCAGGGUCCUAAUGCUUCAUAUCAAGCGGUUUACUGCAGGCAACUGGGAGCCAGAGAAGGUGGAUGAUCCCAUAUCCAUCCCUGCAGAACUGACCCUCCCAGCCGUAUGUGGGGCGACAGCCCCUGUCCAGCAUGGAGCCAGGGCAAGCUCCAUGGGGAAAAACAACAUGGACAACACACCUGCAAACUCCCCGAAAGGCACCCUUGAUAGACCAGGCCACUACAUCAGUGAUGUUUUGGACAGCCGUGGCAGUGGGUGGCUCUGCCUGGAUGACGCACAUGUCUUGAGGACAGAUGAGGCCAC